This is a long non-coding RNA of Solanum stenotomum, 1417 nucleotides long. RefSeq lists it as uncharacterized. The transcript has 3 exons. The record is from RefSeq and is a predicted model, not a curated record. NCBI's taxonomy places the organism in Eukaryota, Viridiplantae, Streptophyta, Magnoliopsida, Solanales, Solanaceae.
CCCAUUGCCAUCCCUAGCGAUAAUAACAAGAUUGUUUGGAGAAGGUUUGAAAUGAGUAAAUAGUAUUGGAGGUAAAACAGUUUGGGUGUCUGAACAUUAGUGAGAUCAUACGUGAGCAUUACCAGGGUCAUGGAACUUGAGUUUUGAAGCCAUGCUUCCCUGUUAGCUUACAAAGGAAACUUCUGACACAGAAAACCUAAAAGAACACACACAAAAAAAUGAUACUAAUAUUAAUGUCAGAGCAGUUGUUAUGCUGGCUAUUCCUGUGUUAAAUGUACAGAAUGUAUUGUUGGAAGGUGAUUUUGGCUGUAUAUGUUUGUGGCUGUAAAUCAAUAUAAUGUUCUUUGCUGGUCUAAUUAGUUUAAGGUCAUAACUAAUUCUUACGUCUAUUUACCGUUAAAACUUUACCUUGUGUGAGAGAACAUCUUCCCAAUAGGUGCGUCUACCAGUGAUGAAUGUGGCUUGAGUUCUAAACUUGUAGUAUGACCAACAUUUGGCUUAAAUUGGACUCGAUGUGGUGAAUGUUGGAACUUCUUUCCAGUUGCUGGCUUCUAUCUGCCAAGUUGUGAUGUUAGCUAAGUGAGAUAAAUCAUCGGAUCCUGAAGAUGCAUUUUUAUUUUGUUGGUGGUGCAACAAAAUAAGUGGCCUUGAGGGAAACCUUGGUUAAGAUAAAAUGGCUGGACAAGAUAUUUUGUUCGUUAACAAGAGCUGAUGCAGGUCUAACUUUUUUACCUAAAGCUAGACUAUGAAGGCUGACAAUUGAAAUGCGCUUUUUUUCUGAGUUAACUGUUGCUCGGUGGACAACACUUUUGUAUAUCCCAUUGGUCAGUACUUCCAUGUGAUCUCCCAGCAGAACAGCGAGAGCUCCCUCAAUGAGUGGAACUGAAUGCCACUUUUCAUCUCGGCCCAUGAUUUGCAAGCCCUGGUGAUUUUGUAGAAUGAUGGAUAUCAUACCAUAAUCUGUGUGUGGUGGCAAUCCUAGUGUAAGAUCUGGCUCAGGACAUGCUGGAUAGCAAUUAACUGCCAUGACCUGGGAGCCUUCCGCAAUGUCUUCAUGUAACAUGGACACUUCACGACAAGUAGUACCUGGAAGAAACCAAAUUUCUUGCAAGCCAGGUGUACAUCCUGGAUUAUCUGAGACCGAAGAAGAGGGUGUUGCCGAUUGGAUAGAUCCACAAUUGGCAAGCAUGUGUUACACAGGGUUCCAUCGGGGCGUAGGGAUGGUGGAAGGACGUAACGCUUGGGAACAUAGGUUAGUCCCUUUUCAAUAAGUGUCAUGGCACUAGUAAAUGAACCAUUUGCUGAAGCUGAGCUCUCUCUCAUUCUUCCUACCAUAUUGUGUUAUGUUUAUGACUUUUUAACUCCCUAUUUAUAAGCAGGAAAAUAUGAAGAUAUGGUUGGAGCUUUAAAUUAUUUA